UACGUAGGGUGCGAGCGUUAAUCGGAAUUACUGGGCGUAAAGGGUGCGUAGGCGGUUUGAUAAGUCUGAUGUGAAAUCCCCGGGCUUAACCUGGGAACGGCAUUGGAGACUGUCAAGCUAGAGUGCGGCAGAGGGGGGUAGAAUUCCACGUGUAGCAGUGAAAUGCGUAGAGAUGUGGAGGAAUACCGAUGGCGAAGGCAGCCCCCUUGGAUGACACUGACGCUGAAGCACGAAAGCGUGGGGAGCAAACAGG
RNAcentral lists this ribosomal RNA (253 nucleotides) under uncultured bacterium. RNAcentral's name for it is "partial 16S ribosomal RNA". It matches the Rfam family "Bacterial small subunit ribosomal RNA", at positions 524 to 776 of the family's 1533-position model. The record is from RNAcentral.